CGAUAGCUCAGUUGGUAGAGCAGCAGACUGAAAAUUUGCGUGUCACUGGUUCGACUCCGGUUCGA
RNAcentral lists this transfer RNA (65 nucleotides) under human gut metagenome. It matches the Rfam family "tRNA", at positions 5 to 66 of the family's 71-position model. Rfam says of the family: Transfer RNA (tRNA) molecules are approximately 80 nucleotides in length. Their secondary structure includes four short double-helical elements and three loops (D, anti-codon, and T loops). The record is from RNAcentral. RNAcentral also lists the same sequence under 2 other names.